CCCUUAGAUGUUCUGGGCCGCACGCGCGCUACACUGAUGCAUUCAACAAGUUCUACCUUGGCCGAGAGGCCUGGGAAAUCUUUCAAAUAUGUAUCGUGAUAGGGAUAGAUUAUUGCAAUUAUUAAUCUUGAACGAGGAAUUCCUAGUAUAUGCAGAUCAUCAUUCUGCGUUGAUUACGUCCCUGCCCUUUGUACACACCGCCCGUCGCACCUACCGAUUGAAUGAUCCGGUGAAGCCUCGGGAUUGUGCCCAGAGAACUUUAUUGUGAUUUGGGUGUGAGAACUUGUCUAAACCUUAUCAUUUAGAGGAAGGUGAAGUCGUAACA
This 325-nucleotide ribosomal RNA is filed under the name uncultured eukaryote. RNAcentral describes it as "partial 18S ribosomal RNA". It matches the Rfam family "Eukaryotic small subunit ribosomal RNA", at positions 1470 to 1796 of the family's 1831-position model. The record is from RNAcentral.